Molecule: long non-coding RNA, 545 nt
Organism: Seriola dumerili (greater amberjack)
Lineage: Eukaryota; Metazoa; Chordata; Actinopteri; Carangiformes; Carangidae
Exons: 3
Source: RefSeq, a predicted model, not a curated record
CAAAACUGCUGGUCUUCUGGAGGGGGAAACCUUGCAUCAGUGUACAACGCAGAGCAGGCCAAUGAUAUUCAUAGGAUGAUGAAGCGUGCCGGACAUGAGCGUGGACAAGUAUGGGUCGGGGGCCAUAAUACAGCAGAGGAUCCUUCUUGGUCCUGGAGCGAUCAUUUGUCCUUUGAUAUAUUUCAUCAAUGGUGUCAUGUGGAGCCUGCAAAGCACGAGCACCACUGUUUACAACUAAACUUUGGAGAAAAUAUUUCGGGAUGCUUGGAUGACAAGGACUGUGAAGCUCAACUCCCAUCUGUCUGUGGUAAAAUUAUCAUGUGAUUGCAGAGCAGACAUGAUCAGUCUCAUCAAUAACCUCAAUUUCCCAUCUUUAUUUCCUUUCUGUCAUUGUAACGCCUCCUUUAAGGAACGAAGCGACAAGUGAAAUAAACUGGAGCUGGACUGUCUGUUAAUGGAAAAGAAGGAUUUUAGCACAACUUCACUCUGUAGACUGAACUCUUCUUUCUUGUCUGAUGCAAAAUAAAAAGUUUCAGUACUGAAAG